GAGUUUGAUCCUGGCUCAGAUUGAACGCUGGCGGCAGGCCUAACACAUGCAAGUCGAGCGGAAACGACACUAWCRAUCCUUCGGRUGMKUUAAUGGGCGUCGAGCGGCGGACGGGUGAGUAAUGCCUAGGAAAUUGCCUUGAUGUGGGGGAUAACCAUUGGAAACGAUGGCUAAUACCGCAUAAUGCCUACGGGCCAAAGAGGGGGACCUUCGGGCCUCUCGCGUCAAGAUAUGCCUAGGUGGGAUUAGCUAGUUGGUGAGGUAAUGGCUCACCAAGGCGACGAUCCCUAGCUGGUCUGAGAGGAUGAUCAGCCACACUGGAACUGAGACACGGUCCAGACUCCUACGGGAGGCAGCAGUGGGGAAUAUUGCACAAUGGGCGAAAGCCUGAUGCAGCCAUGCCGCGUGUAUGAAGAAGGCCUUCGGGUUGUAAAGUACUUUCAGUUGUGAGGAAGGGKGURWMGUUAAUAGCUGYRYMUCUUGACGUUAGCAACAGAAGAAGCACCGGCUAACUCCGUGCCAGCAGCCGCGGUAAUAC
Molecule: ribosomal RNA, 538 nt
Filed under: Vibrio sp. TBT31
Lineage: Bacteria; Pseudomonadati; Pseudomonadota; Gammaproteobacteria; Vibrionales; Vibrionaceae
Description: partial 16S rRNA
Rfam family: Bacterial small subunit ribosomal RNA
Source: RNAcentral